Molecule: ribosomal RNA, 180 nt
Filed under: uncultured bacterium
Lineage: Bacteria
Description: partial 16S ribosomal RNA
Rfam family: Bacterial small subunit ribosomal RNA
Source: RNAcentral
GAAACUCGCCUACAUGAAGCUGGAAUUGCUAGUAAUCACAGGUCAGCAUACUGUGGUAAAUACGUUCCCGGGCCUUGUACACACCGCCCGUCACACCAUGAGAGUUGAGAAUACCCGAAGCCCAUGUCAAAGUGGUCGAAGGUAGGCUUGAUGAUUGGGGUGAAGUCGUAACAAGGUAUC